UACGGAGGAUCCAAGCGUUAUCCGGAUUUAUUGGGUUUAAAGGGUGCGUAGGCGGACUGAUAAGUCAGUGGUGAAAGCCUGUUGCUUAACAACAGAACUGCCAUUGAUACUGCCAGUCUUGAGUACAGUUGAGGUAGGCGGAAUGUGUCAUGUAGUGGUGAAAUACUUAGAUAUGACACAGAACACCGAUUGCGAAGGCAGCUUGCUAAACUGUAACUGACGCUGAGGCACGAAAGCAUGGGGAGCAAACAGG
RNAcentral lists this ribosomal RNA (253 nucleotides) under uncultured bacterium. RNAcentral describes it as "partial 16S ribosomal RNA". It matches the Rfam family "Bacterial small subunit ribosomal RNA", at positions 524 to 776 of the family's 1533-position model. The record is from RNAcentral.